This 337-nucleotide unclassified non-coding RNA is filed under the name soil metagenome. RNAcentral describes it as "partial contains 5.8S ribosomal RNA, internal transcribed spacer 2, and large subunit ribosomal RNA". The stretch from base 1 to 121 matches the Rfam family "5.8S ribosomal RNA", at positions 35 to 154 of the family's 154-position model. The record is from RNAcentral.
GAUGAAGAACGCAGUGAACGUGCGAAACGUAAUGUGAAUUGCAGAAUUCAGUGAAUCAUCGAAUCUUUGAACGCACAUUGCGCCCGCCAGUAUUCUGGCGGGCAUGCCUGUUCGAGCGUCAUUUCAACCAUCAAGCCCCCGGCUUGUGUUGGGGACCUGCGGCUGCCGCAGGCCCUGAAAAGCAGUGGCGGGCUCGCUGUCACACCGAGCGUAGUAGCAUACAUCUCGCUCUGGGCGUGCUGCGGGUUCCGGCCGUUAAACCACCUUCAUAACCCAAGGUUGACCUCGGAUCAGGUAGGAAGACCCGCUGAACUUAAGCAUAUCAAUAAGCGGAGGA